This 486-nucleotide ribosomal RNA is filed under the name uncultured organism. RNAcentral describes it as "bacterial SSU rRNA". It matches the Rfam family "Bacterial small subunit ribosomal RNA", at positions 28 to 507 of the family's 1533-position model. The record is from RNAcentral.
GAUGAACGCUAGCGGGAGGCUUAACACAUGCAAGUCGAGGGGCAGCACGAGGUAGCAAUACUUUGGUGGCGACCGGCGCACGGGUGAGUAACGCGUAUGUAACCUACCCUGUACAGGGGAAUAACCCGGAGAAAUUCGGACUAAUACCCCAUAAAGAUAUUUUGAGGCAUCUUAAGAUAUUUAAAGUUUCGGCGGUACGGGAUGGGCAUGCGUAACAUUAGCUAGUUGGUAGGGUAACGGCCUACCAAGGCUACGAUGUUUAGGGGUCCUGAGAGGGUGAUCCCCCACACUGGUACUGAGACACGGACCAGACUCCUACGGGAGGCAGCAGUGAGGAAUAUUGGUCAAUGGGCGCAAGCCUGAACCAGCCAUCCCGCGUGCAGGAAGACGGCCCUAUGGGUUGUAAACUGCUUUUCCAGGGGGUGAAACUCCCGUACGAGUACGGGACUGACGGUACCCUGGGAAUAAGCAUCGGCUAACUCCGUG